AUACGGAGGGUGCAAGCGUUAUCCGGAAUCAUUGGGUUUAAAGGGUCCGUAGGCGGGCUAUUAAGUCAGAGGUGAAAUCCCACAGCUCAACUGUGGAACUGCCUUUGAUACUGAUAGUCUUGAGUUACAGUGAAGUAGAUAGAAUGUGUAGUGUAGCGGUGAAAUGCAUAGAUAUUACACAGAAUACCGAUUGCGAAGGCAGUCUACUACGUAUAUACUGACGCUAAGGGACGAAAGCGUGGGGAGCGAACAGGAUUAGAAACCCCAGUAGUCC
Molecule: ribosomal RNA, 274 nt
Filed under: uncultured bacterium
Lineage: Bacteria
Description: partial 16S ribosomal RNA
Rfam family: Bacterial small subunit ribosomal RNA
Source: RNAcentral